CUGGAGUGCAGUGGCAUGAUCAUGACUCGCUCCUUUUGGGAUCAACUGAUCCUCCUACCUCAGCCUCUGGACCAGCUGGGACCACAGGAUGAAAAGAGGAAGGAGAUGGUGUCACUGGAGCAGCACGUGAUUAGAGGCCACCCAGCGGAUCUGAACUGCUGUGGACCUGUCCCAUGGGAGCUGGGGCCGCAAAGGACAGGGCUGUUUGGCAAGACAUGAAGCCAAGUAGAAAACGGGCGCUGACGAGAUGCUACCUGAAACAGAGAGGAGGACCAACACUUUGACCUCUUCCUCUGCCAGAGCCUACCCCUGGUUGAUUCUCUGCCAGAACUGGAGGGCCCAGGCACCCCGGAAAUGCAGUGCCCUUAGUUCUCUGUGAAAAGGAGCAGAGCACAGGAAAGGCAAGGCAUGGCUCCGGGAGCAAAGAUCCGAAAACCAACACUACUAACUUUAUAGAGUUCAUUUCACAAGUUGGAACACAGUGGUUCUUGACCAGUGGUUUUGUGGGCCUGGUGAAGUCACCAGUUCAGUUCCUUUAAGAACUAUGGAACAGAAAUUCCUGAAUUGCUUAGAACUGGUUUAAAGCCAGGAUUUGGGUGUUUGCUUGUAGAAACCAGAAAAACAAACAAACAAAAAAACCCACUUUGUACCAAUGAGCUUUGUUUCUUUCAUCGCUUUGUUUGGAUAUGCUUAGCCUAUAAGAUUGUUCUCUAAAUGAGCAAAUGCUUGUAAGCAGCUUUGAGACUGUAAAGAUAUGACUUACCUGACAAUUGCUUGGUUCACUUGCUACCUGUCUUUUGCAUAUUUUCUCCUCUCAUCAUAGUUUUUUGAGACAGGAACAUGUCUUUGAAGAAAUCUGUGUCUCCCUGCAACCUCAGGACUGAUGAUCAUAAGGUGUCUGUGGAGCCCUUUGUUGGGAGAGGACUGGGAGAGGACCGGGAGAAGGGGGAGCGUGUGUUUCAUGUGGCCAGAAUCCUCUGCAGCCACCAGCAGGAGAAGAGAGGCAUGGGAUGUCAGACAUAUUAACAGAAUCAUUUAGAGCAACUUGUUUUCUAUGCAGAGACUUUUUCAAGACCAGGGCUAUUUUUGCCGCUUAAUGUGGUCUGCAUUUUCUGCAGUCAGACCCCACUGAUGGUUAAUGACAGAAGAUCCAGGAAGCUUGGGGAUUGUGCCAGUAGACACCAGAGACAGUAACCUUGUCAAAAAAGAAACAGAUGACAUACUUACAGCAUGGUGAGACACUCAGUUCCUAAGCCCCUAAAGCAACUAGGAAGAGACUUGAUGCAGAGACACUAAUUACACAGCCGGAUUUCUCCGAAGGCAGCAUUUACCAAUCCUCUCUCCUAAAAAUGUAGAUUGGCAGAGGGAUAAUUCCAAGUAAUUUAAUGAAACAGCAGGUGAUAGUGAGAAUUAUCCUAGG
RNAcentral lists this long non-coding RNA (1420 nucleotides) under Homo sapiens (human). RNAcentral describes it as "HSALNT0043442". Lineage: Eukaryota; Metazoa; Chordata; Mammalia; Primates; Hominidae. The record is from RNAcentral.